RNAcentral lists this ribosomal RNA (360 nucleotides) under Pseudomonas sp. RNAcentral's name for it is "bacterial SSU rRNA". It matches the Rfam family "Bacterial small subunit ribosomal RNA", at positions 430 to 782 of the family's 1533-position model. The record is from RNAcentral. Lineage: Bacteria; Pseudomonadati; Pseudomonadota; Gammaproteobacteria; Pseudomonadales; Pseudomonadaceae.
GCACUUUAAGUUGGGAGGAAGGGCAGUAAGUUAAUACCUUGCUGUUUUGACGUUACCGACAGAAUAAGCACCGGCUAACUUCGUGCCAGCAGCCGCGGUAAUACGAAGGGUGCAAGCGUUAAUCGGAAUUACUGGGCGUAAAGCGCGCGUAGGUGGUUCGUUAAGUUGGAUGUGAAAGCCCCGGGCUCAACCUGGGAACUGCAUCCAAAACUGGCGAGCUAGAGUACGGUAGAGGGUGGUGGAAUUUCCUGUGUAGCGGUGAAAUGCGUAGAUAUAGGAAGGAACACCAGUGGCGAAGGCGACCACCUGGACUGAUACUGACACUGAGGUGCGAAAGCGUGGGGAGCAAACAGGAUUAGA